AGCACCAGUUGACGUGACGCUGAG
RNAcentral lists this microRNA (24 nucleotides) under Oryza sativa (Asian cultivated rice). RNAcentral's name for it is "osa-miR5154". The record is from miRBase by way of RNAcentral. Lineage: Eukaryota; Viridiplantae; Streptophyta; Magnoliopsida; Poales; Poaceae. RNAcentral also lists the same sequence under 1 other name.